Molecule: long non-coding RNA, 473 nt
Organism: Larimichthys crocea (large yellow croaker)
Lineage: Eukaryota; Metazoa; Chordata; Actinopteri; Sciaenidae
Exons: 3
Source: RefSeq, a predicted model, not a curated record
UAAAUCUGUUGCUGUUAUGGUGUUAUCAACGGGUGAAAACCAAUGCUGAAUCCAUGGCAGGACUCCCAGACAGGGCUGCAAAGUCAGUAAGACUCAUCCCCUGGGGACCAUGAAUGACUGCACAGAAUUUCAAUUUCAAUCCAUCCAAUUGCUGUGUCUCCCUCCUCUGCCUGUUGAUUACUUCAUCCACCCCUCGACCAUGCCUUUUGCUGUAUGACAGUGUUCUGUCUUCACAAGGACUGCAAAUAGGUUUGUCAAUAUGUCAUGCAUGGUAAUUUACAGCCAUCAUUCAUCUCAUAAAAAAAAGAGUGUUGACUGAUGGUGCAUAGAUUUUGAACAAAAUAGUUGAUGACAGCAGUGAUGAAUCUCCUGAGUAAGGCUGUUUUGUUAAGUAAAAUGCUUGUGAGAAAGGAGCGAUUUCCACAGCCAGCUGCUAUCCCGGCUGCUUCCUUGCUUAUCUAUCCACCAUGAGA